AGCGUUCUGUAAGCCUGCGAAGGUGUGCUGUGAGGCAUGCUGGAGGUAUCAGAAGUGCGAAUGCUGACAUAAGUAACGAUAAAGCGGGUGAAAAGCCCGCUCGCCGGAAGACCAAGGGUUCCUGUCCAACGUUAAUCGGGGCAGGGUGAGUCGACCCCUAAGGCGAGGCCGAAAGGCGUAGUCGAUGGGAAACAGGUUAAUAUUCCUGUACUUGGUGUUACUGCGAAGGGGGGACGGAGAAGGCUAUGUUAGCCGGGCGACGGUUGUCCCGGUUUAAGCAUGUAGGCUGGUUAUCCAGGCAAAUCCGGAUAACCAAGGCUGAGGUGUGAUGACGAGGCACUACGGUGCUGAAGUAACAAAUGCCCUGCUUCCAGGAAAAGCCUCUAAGCAUCAGGUAACAUCAAAUCGUACCCCAAACCGACACAGGUGGUCAGGUAGAGAAUACCAAGGCGCUUGAGAGAACUCGGGUGAAGGAACUAGGCAAAAUGGUGCCGUAACUUCGGGAGAAGGCACGCUGGUGUGUAGGUGAAGUCCCUGCGGAUGGAGCUGAGACCAGUCGAAGAUACCAGCUGGCUGCAACUGUUUAUUAAAAACACAGCACUGUGCAAACACGAAAGUGGACGUAUACGGUGUGACGCCUGCCCGGUGCCGGAAGGUUAAUUGAUGGGGUUAUCCGUAAGGAGAAGCUCUUGAUCGAAGCCCCGGUAAACGGCGGCCGUAACUAUAACGGUCCUAAGGUAGCGAAAUUCCUUGUCGGGUAAGUUCCGACCUGCACGAAUGGCGUAAUGAUGGCCAGGCUGUCUCCACCCGAGACUCAGUGAAAUUGAACUCGCUGUGAAGAUGCAGUGUACCCGCGGCAAGACGGAAAGACCCCGUGAACCUUUACUAUAGCUUGACACUGAACAUUGAGCCUUGAUGUGUAGGAUAGGUGGGAGGCUUUGAAGCGUGGACGCCAGUCUGCGUGGAGCCAACCUUGAAAUACCACCCUUUAAUGUUUGAUGUUCUAACGUUGGCCCCUGACCGGGGUUGCGGACAGUGUCUGGUGGGUAGUUUGACUGGGGCGGUCUCCUCCCAAAGCGUAACGGAGGAGCACGAAGGUUAGCUAAUCCUGGUCGGACAUCAGGAGGUUAGUGCAAUGGCAUAAGCUAGCUUGACUGCGAGCGUGACGGCGCGAGCAGGUGCGAAAGCAGGUCAUAGUGAUCCGGUGGUUCUGAAUGGAAGGGCCAUCGCUCAACGGAUAAAAGGUACUCCGGGGAUAACAGGCUGAUACCGCCCAAGAGUUCAUAUCGACGGCGGUGUUUGGCACCUCGAUGUCGGCUCAUCACAUCCUGGGGCUGAAGUAGGUCCCAAGGGUAUGGCUGUUCGCCAUUUAAAGUGGUACGCGAGCUGGGUUUAGAACGUCGUGAGACAGUUCGGUCCCUAUCUGCCGUGGGCGCUGGAGAAUUGAGGGGGGCUGCUCCUAGUACGAGAGGACCGGAGUGGACGCAUCACUGGUGUUCGGGUUGUCAUGCCAAUGGCACUGCCCGGUAGCUAAAUGCGGAAGAGAUAAGUGCUGAAAGCAUCUAAGCACGAAACUUGCCCCGAGAUGAGUUCUCCCUGAGACUAUAAGUCUCCUGAAGGAACGUUGAAGACGACGACGUUGAUAGGCCGGGUGUGUAAGCGCAGCGAUGCGUUGAGCUAACCGGUACUAAUGAACCGUGAGGCUUAACCUUACAACGCCGAAG
RNAcentral lists this ribosomal RNA (1724 nucleotides) under Klebsiella pneumoniae. RNAcentral's name for it is "bacterial LSU rRNA". It matches the Rfam family "Bacterial large subunit ribosomal RNA", at positions 1235 to 2925 of the family's 2925-position model. The record is from RNAcentral. Lineage: Bacteria; Pseudomonadati; Pseudomonadota; Gammaproteobacteria; Enterobacterales; Enterobacteriaceae.